AAGGGCUGUCCUGCCAGAGUUAAUUUCAAGUGUCUCCCUGCCCCAGUGGAGAUUGCUUCAGAAGCCGAGAUCAAAAGGGGUUUUGAAGUAGCAGAGAGCAUUUUGAAGGCACAAAAGUGACUUUGAGGCUGAGGGAAGGAUGCCCAAAGGAAACAACGGGAAGGCUCAGAGAAGUGUGUGGUGAAAGUCUGCAGUGACCACCAGGCUUUCAAAUGGAAGAAUUAGAGGAGCAAAGAACAGCUUCAAAAGAGAUGAUGAAGAAGACAGUGAGCCAACCCUGGCAAUGCCUCCAUCCCUCCAGUCUGGAUCCCAACAUAUUUAAAAUGGAAAAAAGCAACCCAGGAGAUCCUCAUCACAAAUCUAUGUGGCCUAUGACUGUGAUCAUGGAUUGAUGCCACCUUUGUGAAGAGCUACAGGUGGUAACAGAGCAUUCUCCCCAGCAGACUCCAAGUGUGACUUUUGAAGGACAGCUGUGUUUUGGUAUGCAUAUGGCUUCAAAAAUGUUCAUUCAAUGGAGUUGCCUUUAAAUGCCAACUGAAUCAAAAUUGUUUCCUCCACCCCAUAUUCACUUUGUAUCAGUGUUCUGCCACUGUGGAGAUGUCCUAUAUGUAGCACUUAGGUAUUUUCUAGAUUGUCUCCUCUCCUAUACACCACCCCAUAUUUGCAACCAAGUGAGAUGCCCACAGUGGCCGAUGGUGCGAUAUGGAGCAAGAGGCACUCUCUAUAGUGGCACUCUGACUGUGGAAUACACAGAUUUGAUUGAUGCCAACCCUUAUGGGUUUUAGGCCUCUGGUACAGACAUAUUUAUUUACUUAGAGAUUUGAUUAAGUUGCCUGUAAAUUGCUUUGUCACUCCCAUGGUGCUGUGAUGCAAUAUGGCAUGGUUGUCAGAUUUCGCUUUAUUUUUAUUAUGUGCUCUGUAUUUUUUUUCAUUGUAUCUUGAUCUCGAAUUGAUUUUAAUAAACGAUGUUCAACACAA
Podarcis muralis (Common wall lizard) is the source of this 978-nucleotide non-coding RNA. The record is from RefSeq and is a predicted model, not a curated record. NCBI's taxonomy places the organism in Eukaryota, Metazoa, Chordata, Lepidosauria, Squamata, Lacertidae.